This is an RNA transcript of Lethenteron reissneri (Far Eastern brook lamprey), 4227 nucleotides long. It is a transcript of the gene named transcription factor Maf-like, with no coding region annotated. Lineage: Eukaryota; Metazoa; Chordata; Hyperoartia; Petromyzontiformes; Petromyzontidae. The record is from RefSeq and is a predicted model, not a curated record.
ACCCCGCCCCCCCUCCCCCUUCCCCGCCCGCGGCACGCGAACCGCGCCGGGCCACGCCGAUGGCGCUGGGCGAGACGGCUCAGGCCACGGCGGCCUCAGCCGCAGGGGAGGUCCCCUCGUAGCCCGCCGCUGUCAGUACGCGCGGCGAGGCGCGGGCGAGGAGGCGGGCAGAGUGAGCCGGGGACCCCCCCCACCCCCCACCACGCACACCCCGAGGACGCACCUCGUGGCGCCGGCAGGGAGCGACCGGCGGGACAGGACCCGCACUGCAGGGAGCCCGAGGGAGUUCCCCCCUCCCCCUCUCCGCCGAUACUCGUGGGCUCGAGUGCGCGGUCAGUGCAAGGCACGCGUCUUCUUUUUGCGAGCGACACUUUGCGCCGCGUUCGUUUAUUCUCGCCCGGAGUGAGCAUGGCCGCGGCGCUGACUCUCAACAGUAGCGAUUUGCCCAACAACCCGAUGGUGAUGGAGUAUGUGAAUGACUUUGACCUUAUGAAACUAGAAGUGAAGAAGGAGCCGCUGGAGCUGAGCCUGAGCCGCGCGUGCGGCCGCCUCGAGGGCUCCCUGUCGUCGUCUCCCAUGAGCACCCCCUGCAGUUCCGUGCCGCCCUCCCCCACCUUCAGCGCGCACAGCCCCGGGGCGCCGCGCCCCAGCCUCGAGGACUUGUACUGGAUGUCCCACUACCAACAGCCGCAGCCGCAGCAGCAGCAGCCGCAGCAUCCACAGCAGCAGCAGCACGCGCACCAACCCCAGCAGCAGCAGCAGCAACAGCAGCAGCAGCACCUAAACCCAGAGGCACUGAACCUGACUCCGGAGGACGCGGUCGAGGCCCUCAUCGGCUGCGCCCACGCCGCGCAGGGCUUCGAUUGCUACCGCGCGCCCGUGCCGCAGUUCGCGGGGCUGGGCACCAGCGGCCGGGAGGAGCUGCAGGGAGAGACCUCGAGCCACGAGGGUGGACAGCCGGCGGUCGCGAGCCACCACAACCACCACGGCCACAACCACCACCACCACCACAACCACCACGGCCACCACGACCACGGCGGGACGUCGGGCCAGCAGCAGCACGGGGCACGCGUGGACGAGCGCUUCUCCGAGGACCAGCUGGUGUCCAUGUCGGUGCGGGACCUCAACCGGCAGCUGCGCGGCUUCAGCAAGGAGGAGGUGAUCCGCCUCAAGCAGAAGCGGCGCACGCUCAAGAACCGCGGCUACGCGCAGUCGUGCCGCUACAAGCGCGUGCAGCAGAGGCACCUGCUGGAGCACGAGAAGACAGAGCUGCUGCGCCAGGUGGAGUCCCUGAAGCAGGAGCUGGCGCGGCUCGCGCGCGAGCGCGACGCCUACAAAGACAAGUACGAGCGACUCGUCGUGGGAGGCGGCGCGGGUGGAGGAGGUGGUGGUGGUGGAGGAAGUGGAGGAGGUGGUUAUUUCAGGGACGCUGGCUCCCACAGCAGCGGCAGCCCUUCCUCGCCCGAGUUUUUCCUGUGAGUCUCCGCCGCGCGCCGGCCCCAUCCUCCCGUCGCCUCUCCCCCUCUGCUGCGACUCGCGGCGCUCGCGCGAUCGCCUCCGCGUGCCUCUCGCUCCGGGCCGUGCGGAGGGGUCUGAAGGCCGGGACGACUGGGACCUCUAUGGCCAGUUGUCAACAUCAUCAUCAUCCGCAGCAGCAGCAAGCGCAUCAUCAUCAACAACAACCACAUCACCACCAUCAGCGGCAGCAUCAUAAUCACGAUGAUCAUGAUCAUCAUCAUCCGCAUCGCCACAAUCAACUGCGUUGCCACCGCCGCCGCCGCCGUCUGGGCGCUACGCUGCCAUCCCCUGUCUCGUCGCGCGUCUGGACAAGCGGCGCGUGGUGGGGGGCGCGGGGCCGCGAUCCAGAACCAAAGUGCGAGAGGAGGCUCCGUGACCCGUGACCCAUGACCCGUGACCCGUGCUCUGUGACCCGUGACCCCUGCUAAGUGACCCGUGACCCGUGCUCGAUGGGAAAACAUCGCCCCUUCGCUCACGCGUCACGGCUUCACCUGGCGCGCGGGACUGACGGUGGCAACGAUGGUGACGAUGAGGAUGGUGGCGAUGAGGAUGGUGGCGACGAAACCGCGCGUAUUACGCACACGGGGACCCCACGCGGAGGGCGCACAUUGAGUAAAAGGACGCGGAUUGUUGAGGCUGCGGUCGGGACGCCGCUUGGGUCAUGAAAGGAUCAACGCGGGGACCCCUGACGCAGGCCCCGCGUUCCCCACCACCACCAGCAGUACCACCAGCAGCACCACCAGCACCAGCAGCACCACCAGCACCACCAGCAGCAGCAGCACCACCACCAGCACCAGCAGCAGCACCACCAGCACCACCACCAGCAUCAGCAGCAGCACAACCAGCACCAGCAGCACCAGCAGCAGCACCAGCAGCACCACCACCAGCAGCACCAGCAGCACCAGCAGCAGCAGCACCAGCAGCACAGCACCACCACCAGCACCAGCAGCACCACCACCAGCACCACCACCAGCAUCAGCAGCACAACCAGCACCAGCAGCACCACCAGCAGUACCAGCAGCACCACCACCAGCAGCACCACCAGCACCAGCAGCACCACCACCACACACCACCACCAGCACCAGCAGCACCAGCACCAGCAGCACUACCAGCACCACCAGCAGCAGCAGCACCAGCAGCAGCACCACUAGCACCAUGGCCACCACAAAAAGCCACCCUCACCAGGCGGCACCGAACGACCUCAAGAGUCACCGCUGCUGCCCGUGUCGCUGCCCCCUCCUCCCCCACUCGGCCGGCUGGCGAGUGGGCACGGGGGCGCGCCGCACGGAGCGUCGGGGACAUCGCGAACAAUGCUGCGGCAGCCCACGGCGCGGUCUUCCACGGAGCGUGAGACUCUCUUCGUCAGGGUUGUGUGGUUACGCAAGACGUCUUCUAUUUAUAUUGCGGCAUUGAGAAAAGGAAAAAAACACAUCGGCGACGGCGGCGUGGACGCGUAGCGCCAAAAGAAACCCUCCAGGCGACGAAUACGCACACUGUUUUAAACAUCCAUUUUCUAUCUCACCCCUUCCCCCCUCGCCCCUCCCGUUUGUUCGUCUCGUUCCGUAGCGACCCAAACAACAACAACAACAACAACAACAACAACAACAACAACAACAACAACAAGAGUUAGACAACGCAUCGCCCCGUGCGGGCGACGCUCUUCUGUACAUAACGACGAUGACGAUGAUGGCGAUGAUGAUGAUGAUGGUGAUCCCUGGAGGGUAGCGGGGGGGGGACAUUGGCGUGGCGUGCCGAGAGCUCACGGCACGCGGCAGGAGAGGAGGAGCCGAGCGGGCCACGUGGCGGCAGCCGCAUGCGACCUCUGCGUUAUCUUUAGUCCAGGGGGGGGAGUGGGGUGGAGGUGGAAGGGGGUGGGGGGCAGCUCGUGAGAUGCCCCUCGCCUCUGCGGCGACUCGCGCCCCGCUCCACCCACGGCGCGCAACGGCGGCGAAUUAAUUCAGCCAUCAGCCAAACGAAAACAACAACAAUCACUGCAGAUGCGCCGCGUGUCUGUGACGCCUCUAAGUGCGCUCAGUGUCAACAUGACUCCCCCCCAUCAACCCCACUACGCCCCCCCCCACCGGCGGAGAGGGAACCAGAGUCUCGCCGUCGCUCGCCGCGGGACGCGGUCGCCGCGUAGCGUCCACGACGAGACGCUGGCCGAGUGCAUGAAGACAACGCGCGCGACAUUUACUGUUUGUACAGCGCGGGUUUCUCUCCCUUCCUCUCUCCCUGUGUCUCUCUCUCUCUGUGUAUCUCUCCGUCUGUCUAUAUGUCUCUGUCUGUCUCUCUCUGUGUUUCUCUGUCUGUCUAUCUCUCUCUCGCUCUGUGUUAUUGCGACGCGACAGCCUGACCGCGGUGCACGGCCCCCACGUAUCUAUCUAUGCAUGACCCCGUGCACGCUUUCGGGCGCACCGCCACAUCCGCUGCGCUCUCUCCCCUCUCUCGUUCCCGUUUCUUACCCCCCUCUGUUCUCUCUCUCUCUCUACGCUCUCUCUACUCCCAUUCUCUCCCUUCACUCUCUCCUCUCUCUCUCUCUUUUCUACACCGCAUCCCCGUUACUCUCCAUCUGCCUCCACGCUUCCUCCUCUCUCUACUCUCACUAAUUCCCUCUCUCCCCUGUCACUUCAUCGCUCUCACAUUCUCUCUCACGCCUCUCCCCCACCCUGCUCCAGUUCGAUGGCUGCACGGACCCUGGCGCGGGCAAUA